This 2062-nucleotide long non-coding RNA is filed under the name Piliocolobus tephrosceles (Ugandan red Colobus). RNAcentral describes it as "lncRNA (ENSPTEG00000000750.1)". Lineage: Eukaryota; Metazoa; Chordata; Mammalia; Primates; Cercopithecidae. The record is from RNAcentral.
CCCGACUGCGCAGGCGUGCUCACCUGGCGUGCUCCACCCGGCUGGGCGUCCUCAGGCUCCUCCCCUGGGCGUGGCCUCCGGGCGGCCCGGCUGCUUCUCAGGUGAUAUUGGUUCCAGCUGGUGGGGUCUAGUUGACGCUUCCGCAGCCACCAGGACCAACGGAAAGCCGAUCGGGGGAACCGCGGCGGGGCUGGUGUCAGGAGCCUGAGGUGAACUUGAGGGUGCCUCCUCAGCGGUCUCCCCCCCUGCCCUGAGGGGCGCCGGGACCCCAAAGAGCGGAGGAAGAGCGCCACCCCGACUGCCACCGCUUCGGGGCCAGCACGCGGGGUACCCUACAGGGAGCGCGGAUGCCCCUGUGUUCGGGCGGGGACGGCUCCACCCCUCCUGGGCCGUCCCUUCGGGACGGGGACUGUCCCUCCCAGAGAGAGUGCUGACUACCCGCGCGACCGUCUGGAUCCCCGGCCCGGUAGGGGAAGAGAAGAGUGUGGUACAGCAUGGAUAUCCUAAUUCCUGUGUGUGGUGAGCACUGGCGGCCUCCGCUUCUUAGCGGAGGUUUGUCCUCUCCAACUGUUCAGAGACCUGCGGCGGGGAAGCGCUCUGGGAACCGGGGACUGAAUCUAUGCAGGAUUCACUUCUCUUGCUCAGUAGUUUACGAAGAGCUCUUAAUAAAAUUUAAGAGGGAAUAGAAGGCCACUCAUCCGGGAAGACUUCACUCCAGAAAUCACUCCUGCCUGGCCCUCUAGCCCAGUCCAAGAGCACCUGGCCAGCCGGAGAAGCACUGCUGGACUGGGGGAAUUUGGCCGUACGGCGUCCACAGAGAAGCCCAGCUCCUUACUGGGACCCUGGUCCACUUCCCAAGUUGACCUUCCUGCAAGAAGAGAACAUACCACGUAUUUUAACACAUUUGACAGUCACAGGGGAAGUCUAAGGAAGCCAGGGCCUGCCUGCUUGGGGCCUGUCCAAGCUCGUCCUCUGCCGCCCUAUCUCCGUCAUGUUUGCUUUGGAAGUCCAGAAGAUUGUGUUUAUGUUCCCAGCAGGGCACCUGUUCACUGGUACCAAGAAAAGGCCCAAGUGUUUCCCUGGCAUCAGGUGGUGUCUGGAUCCACCACUCCACACUGUCUCUGGAAACAGCCCUUCCACGUCUCUGCAUUCCCUGUUACUGUGUUGCUGGCCUUCGGACGGAGCCAAGGUGCACGGCAACCCCUCUACGAGGUCUGUAGCCAUUUAUAUUGCUUAGGCUACUGGUAAGUGGACUAAGGUUUAAAAUUACUAUCUUAAACAUUUCUAGCUAAUGUUAACCAGCCAUCCAACCAACCGGUGGUGGGAGUCACAGAAUGCUAAAACAAUGUCACUCUCUUUACUGUUUAUUCCCUGCCUACCCAUCCACUGAACUGACAUCUACGGAGAGCCCACUACAGGCCCAGGCAAUGUCCAAGAGAGUCCCACAUCCCUGCCUGGACUGCAUGUGACAAUCAUCAUCAUACAGGGCUAUAGUGCAUAUAUGACAAAGUGCUGUGGGAGAAAAGAGAAAGACAAUCCAACCCUUUGGGCUCCCAGAAGAGGUGGCUUGCGAGCUGCACCUUGAGCACCCACUUACGGAGGACUGCAUAAGCAAAAGUGGGGAGGAAUGUGGGCGGGAGGGACGUGCAGAAGUGGGCAGUGGGGUUUGGAGUGACUGAACCCUAGGAGGGUGAUGGUGGCAAGAGAUGAGGGGGGAGUGUUGGAGGGGCCUGGGCAGGCUGUGCUGAGGAGUUUGGACUUGACCCUAAGGCACAGAGAACCACGGAAGGGGCUGAGCAUUAGAGGAACAGAGUCACACUCAGUCCCUUAGAACGUCGCUCUGGCCUCUGGUUAGACAUAGUGGGUGGAACAUUUGCAUUCAUCUCUGUUCCUUCUGGAGCCCUGCUAAUACGGCAGUGAUCAUUAUAUAUGUGUGUAUCUCAUGCAGCCACAGGACAAAAGAAUGAAAGAGGAGAAAGCAGCAGGAGAGAAGUGAACCAAAUUUUGAAUGCUGGGAGCAGAUGGACAGGUGGUGACUGACCUUCCCUCAAGCAUCUCUGGA